CUCAUGCCCCUCAAAAGAAAGAAAAAGAGUCAGACAUGAGGGCAGACGUAGGGGUGAAUGUUGGGUGCUCUGUGACUGGUGGUGUGAUCCCGGACAAGCAUCGUGACAUUUCUGAAUCUGUUUCUCACACGUAAAACAGGCCCGAGGAACUUUCCUCAACAAGAGGGCCCUAAAACUGAAAUUGGAUGAUGUGUGGGAAGAGCUGGGGGUUAGCACUCGGAAGUAGACCCUUUGGGGGUCAGAUGACCUUGGGGUGCAGCAGGGACCGAUGCAGAGAGCAGGGCCGUUCUGAGAGCUGGUGGAGGCAGCAGACGGGACCGGAGAAGGGUGGUAUAUCUCAAGGACGGCUGGCGCGCGCGUGUGUGUCUGUGUCUCUGUGUGUGUCUGUGUGUGUGGGUGUGUGUCACCAUGUCUGGGUGUGUGUCCGGGUGUGUGUCUCCAUGUGUGUGUGCAUGCAUGCCUGCAGGCUGAGCCUGGGCCAGAGGAUCUCCGUGCACACUGAGGUCUCAGCUUAAAACCCUAAGGGGGGCUGGUGACAGGUCCUCUCCCCUCUUGGCAUAACUCUUUCCAAGGAAGAGGAGCUGUGCUGAGCUCCAGGGCACUCUCGUACCCAGGCAAGCCCCGUGUGUGCCCUGGUUAUGAACUUGGUCACGUGGGGAGGGCAGUGAAAGACUAAACCUUUCCUGAAUAAACAGGCUUGGGAGGGUGGCAGCCAGGACUUUGAAGAACCAAAAUGCCAGGGCCUAAGAGCUAGACAGUAUUCUGGGGACGCACCUACUCUCGGGCCCGCGGGGAAGUGGCAACAGGCAAUUCCUCCCUCCCGUGACCCUCCCUGCACACCUGCUCAGGGCAGGUGCACCCCUUCUCCCUCCCCCACCCAAGGUUUCAGGAGGAGGAGGAGGGCUCCUGAGGCUGCUGGCAGCCUCACCACCAAACUGUUCUCAUCUCUUAUUGUUCCUGAGAUGGAACAUUUAAAUAAGAGAACUGAUGAUAAGUGGAAGCCAGCAGAAAUCAUUUACUCCCGAGAAAGAAGACAAUUGCUUGAUUUAGACACCAAGUCCCUUGCCUGACUGUUCUCAGUACCAUGGUCUAAAUUUGACCUUGGGAGAUGGAUUGAAAGAGCCGCCUUGUGGGGGAGAGGACAGCAGGCGCCAGGACUCCGGGGCAACAUCUGUGGGCGGAGAACAAUGGCCUGCCUCGCCUCUGAGCCCUGCCCUGGGAGCAGACGCAACAGACUCCCGUCCAAGGCUAGUUCCUGCACCUCGUAUUGGAAGCAGGUCUGCAGCGCAGGGCCUGGGAGCAGGCUGGCAUUGACGCGUCAGCUUAGGCAUUGUUUUGAUCUCAGCUUUCCGUGUUUUCAUCUCCUCCAACCGGUGGGAGGCAGCAGAGAGGAGCUGGUCUGCCGAGGCUUUUUCCAGAACCUUGGGGAAAGCAACUAAACUACAGGAUUACAGAAAGAACAAGAGAUUGCUUUCUUGCAGUGGUGGCAAAGCCAGCAUACUUGGUAGCACUAGAAAAUCAUGGACUGAUCCUAGGAUCCAGAGGCCCUAAAUUAGCCUCCUGAAGGGCUCCUGUUUGGGGCCCAGGCCUAUAACAUGGGCUGUGGAGUCGGGGGAGGCAUUUCUUCCCUUCUUUUCUGGACGCAGGCAUAGCAGGUUCCAGGGACAGGAGGAGAGAGCAGCACUAAAGGCAGACCCUGUUCGCUUUCCAACCCAAGGAAGCUUUGGAAGAAGCAACCCUAGGAAGCUUUUUGAAACAAGGCCACGUCAAGCAUUUUGGAUAUUUCUCUGUAAGAUUUGAGUCCUUGUUGAGUGACUUCAGAUAAAUCUGAGCCUCUGAAGGUUUCUGCAGUUCUAGGAUGGGAGGGAUAACCUUGCAAUUAUUGUAAGUAAUCUUGUAUGUAAGUACUUGUAAAUGAGUAAUCUUGACUGUUUUCGGGUUCUUAUGGUCAUAGUGGGACCCUGUGACCCCUUCCCCCUUUCUGGGAACACACUCCCACCCCUUUGCUACUGGGAAAUGCUCAUUUUCUUGUCACAUUGCUCCAACGGGAGCCAUCACGUCCAUGGGAACCUGCCCUUGGCCACAGUUGAUGGGCCAACGCUGAGCACAAGUCAACUGUGUUUAGUUUUUGCUGUCAAAUGAACUUCCUUCAAAUGUAUUCAAUUUUUUUCUUUCAUGUUUUCGGGGCUUUGGGGGUUUUGGAAUUGUAGACAAUGGGCUGUGGAAUUAUAGGUAGUUGAGCCUGGGCAUCUUUAGAUCAUACGUGUCUAUUUUUCUCCAUUAGAAUGUGAAUUCCUUACGGGCAGCAGUGAACGUCUCCCCCAGGGGUCCUCGGGUUCCCUCAAGUUCAGCAUAUGGCUAAGGUGAAGUUGGGAGUGUGAAGAAUGGGGUGCAGUGAAGUCAAGCCAGAAAACUGAACUUGACAUCUCUCUGCACCUGUUCUUCCACCUGUUUCCUGAGUUAUCCUCUUAGUCAUCCAACCUGGAAGCCUGGGUCACAUGUGACCCUCCCACCCCAGCCUCGCUCAGCCUUCCACAUCCAGUAAAUCUUUUGGUCUUACGGAUUUCAUUUCCUAACUAUUUCUUGAAUUUGCCCCUUCUUACCUGUCCCCUCGUGGUUUGACUUUAUCAUUGCAUGUCUGUAUUAUGAUAAGAGCGCUACUGCUCUUUUUCCUCCAGUUUUGUCUCUCUCCCAUUUCCAUUCUUCACUAGCCCUGCCGGAGUGAUUGAUCUGUAAUGCACAUCUGAACAUGUCACUCUUAUUUAAAGUCUGCCUGUGAUUCCCUACUGCUUGCAGGGUCGAAUCCAGGCUCUAUGGUGCAGCAGAGAUCUGACUCCUCUUCCUGCACCUACCUGCCAUUUCCUGCUUCAUGGACUUUUCUUGUUGGUGCUCUCUUUUUGCUUAGGAUAAUCCAUCCUCUAUUUCUUUAAAAGCCAUCUCAGACUUUAGCUCCUUGAGAUGACAUCUUUGGACCGGACGAAAAGCCCUAGGAUACCCCAUACCCCAUCACUCUACGUGCCUCUAUCACUCAAGAUAUGAUUUUGGAUUGAAAAUAUUUUUUCAAUGACUGUCUCCCGAGCUCGACUGCCGAUUCUCUGAGAAUAGGGACCAUGCCAUAUUUGUCUCUGUAGUCUUAGUUCUUACUAAAUGAUUAGAACUUAAUGGGUUCUUAGGAAAUGCUGAGUAUGAGAAAGAUGCUUCUGGGCUCAUCCGGGAAACUGAUGAGGUAGACCUCCCAGAAGUCUCUGCAAGGCAGUUGAGUAGACUCUGGAAAGAACUUGAAUGUAUGUGUGCUGAAGAGAUCAGAUGUAAAGGGCAAGAUCUUAGUGAACCAGGAUUGUUCUGGAGAAGCCAACGUGCAGGGAAGCCAAGGGGACUGCUGGGUGAAGUCCUUUGGAGGCAUGAUGAGCCUGAUCCUGGGGUGGACACUCCUUGUGAGACGGGAGGAAUAUAGUCCGGUGGCAGUUACUUGAAAUCACCGUAGGCUCAGUGCUAAUAUGUGCUCUCCAGAAAAACGAUGUGAUUCUAACUAAAAAAAGAAAGGGUUCCUUCAACAAACGCUGUCAAGCAUUAGGGCACAAACAGCCUCUUAACAGUGUUUCCAUGAAAGAGAAAGAGCCAUUUCCAACCGAUUCCACUUCAUUCUCCAGUGGGCCACGCACAGCAUUGUAGGUAGUGAGAAGGUCGUGACACCGGCGCUGGUGCAUAUGGUGGAUCAAUGCAGGUGACCAGGAAGGACCUGCAUGGCUCCAGGGAGAAGCAGGCGAGGCCAGAGAGGCAGGUGGAGAAGCCCCCCAGGCAUCUCAGAGCAGCAGCCCAGCCGAGCAGCCGUGGCACCAGCAAUGGGACUUGCUCAAGGGCAGACACCAACCCCCCACCCCCUUCUCUGGAGGAUUUACAGUAAUGCUUGGGGCAACUUUGAGGAAGGCUUUAGUUUGGGUGUGAAUUGGAGGGGAGAGUGGAAGAGACAGGGACAUUUGGGUUCUUACUCAGUGAGACUUCCCAUCUUUUUUUUUUUUUUUUGUCAUUUUGCCAUUUCUUGGGCCACUCCCACGGCAUAUGGAGGUUCCCAGGCUAGGGGUCGAAUCAGAGCUGUAGUUGCCAGCCCACGCCAGAGCCACAGCAACACGGGAUCCAAGCCGCAUCUGCGGCCUACACCACAGCUCACGGCAACGCCAGAUCCUUAACCCACUGCGCAAGGGCAGGGAUCGAACCCGCAACCUCAUGGUUCGUAGUCGGAUUCGUUAACCACUGCGCCACGACGGGAACUCCGAGACUUCCGAUCCAUACUGAUAGGCUAGAGAGCUGACCAAAUUAGAUCUAGAAUCUGAUUCAUAAACGAUUUCUUUUUCUCUUUAUACCCUGGACAUGGGCAUCCUCAUCUGGCCUGGCAGAUGGGUUGGUGCUUGUGGGAGGGUAUAGUCUCCUGUUAUGGGGUGAAUUGUGUUUCCCUCCAAUUCACAUGCUGAAGCCCUAACCCUCCAGUAACUCGGAAUGUGACCUUAUCUGGAAAUAAAGUCGCUGCAGAUUUAAUUAGUUAAGAUGAAGUCAUCAGGAUGAGGACUCAUCCAGUAUGACUGGUGCCCUCAUAAAAAGGGGAAAUUUGGGUACAGAUAAGCGCACAGAAGGUACACCGUGUGACAAUGAAGGCAGAGAUGGGGAUAAUGUCUUUCUGAGCCAAGGAACGCUAAGGAUCGCUGGCAAACCAGCAGAAACCAGGAGAAAGGCCUGGAACAGACUCUCUCGCGUUGCUUCCAAAGGGAAUCAACCCUACCGACACUAGGAUUUUGAACAUAUAGCCUCCGGAACAGUGAGACGAGCCGUGAAGAUGGUCAAAUAUUCCAGAAGACGCAGCUGUAGGAUGACGGGCCGUCUGUUAACCUGGGUCUGCCAGUGACUGCAUGGAGCAGAGUCGUACUGCCUCUUAUUCCAAAAGCAGCAUGGACAAGAAGGAAACUUUCAUGAUGCGAAGCCACUGAGAUCCAGGACUUUUUACCACAGCACAGCCUGGCCCAGGAGUUCUCAGUCUGGUCGGCUGACUUGGGGACAUCAGAAAGGCCCACGUCCCCCCCAGGAAGAGCAGAGUUUGAUGAUGUCCGUUCCACCAGGGAGGAAGUGAGGCUCCGAGGUGUCAUUUACCGACUGCACAGAAUCACAGCUUGCUGUCCUAGAGAAGUGAGAGCCUGUGGUCAGCAGAGGGCAGUCUUGUUCUAACAACUACUUGGAGUCAUGGCUAAAGUGGUGCCUAUCUUUUCCAGACUUCUAAGCAGUCUCCAGCUCACCCUGCUGACCAGCCUCUUUUGGAUGCAUCUGUGGGCAGUGAGGAAAUGAUGAGUUCAGAUACGCCUUCUCUGUGCUCCUCCUCUGGUAAACGGACCCCGGAGGCAGGGAGCUUCCAUUUUCCCUCUGCCUUUAAGCUCAUCGCUGGAUGGCUCCUGUUUCCUCCAGAGCCUUAAUCUUCUUCCCUGCAGAAUGGGGCGGUCAACUCUCCUUUCCUGCCCACCUUGCUGGACAGGAAGAGAGGGUGUGUGACUAAACCUGGGAUAAGAUAAACUCCAGGAGAGCCUGGUGCUCUGGCCAUUUCCAUCUGGGUCUUGGAAUUGGGGUGUGGAGAACAGCCUAAGCAAGUCUGCGUGGCUCUGGAGGAAGCACCCUCUGGGGAACCCCCCGUGGGGCAGUUAGCUGUCUCCCGACUCACUGCUCUGAGAUGUGUUGCCAACCAGCUGCUCAGCUCACUUGCUGUCUUUCCUUCUCUGUCCUUUCUUCCACUUUUUCUCCCUUCUCCCUCAAACUCACUCCUUUACCCCUAUAUCUAGUGCAACCGUAUUUUUCAAAUUGAAAGUUGGGAUAUAGUCUGACCAUGGGUCAGGGUAUUUGCAAUCUGGACAUUGAUGGGCAUUCUAGAACAUUCGAUCACUCAAGCACUCUUAUUUCUUCUUCCUCAUUUGCCCUACUGCUGCUCUGGGCUAUGACUAAAUGGCCACAAGACAACCAGUGGGGGGGUCAACGGGAUGCCAAAUAUCCAGAUGUUUAGAAAUGUCCAGAUUGUGGAUUGAAAUGUUGCAGUUUUGCUUAUUAUGGGUGCUUGGAGCCUGGUGGACGCAAUUCAAUAAAAACAAAUAGAUGAAUAAAUAAAGAUAAUCUCUAUAACCCAA
Molecule: long non-coding RNA, 6155 nt
Filed under: Sus scrofa (pig)
Lineage: Eukaryota; Metazoa; Chordata; Mammalia; Artiodactyla; Suidae
Description: lncRNA (ENSSSCG00040034080.1)
Source: RNAcentral